GUGGUCACUGCUGAGGAGGAAGAGGGAGGAGUCAUGGCCAAGUUGCCAUGAUCUUGUCGUUAUGGAGACAGACGUGCCGGGCUUCAUCACAAGGCUGCUUCCCUCCAGAGAUACUGUAGGCACUGAUCUAAAUUGAAUUAGCGGGUGUCAUAAGAAAGGGCAACAUCAACGGAAGAAGUGGAUCAAAGCAUUAGACUUGACUGAGCCCAGCAGGAAGGCAGUGCUGACCAUUCUCAAGGUUUGUUGGGACCCAGAGGUCCUCCCAGCUAUGAGUUCUACUCAGUACCCAGCUCAGACCAUUGGCCCCGUAGCCCUCAGGCCAGGAUCACUGUGCCUUUGUCACAGUAACCUCCUUGGAAGACCGGC
Molecule: long non-coding RNA, 366 nt
Filed under: Ursus maritimus (polar bear)
Lineage: Eukaryota; Metazoa; Chordata; Mammalia; Carnivora; Ursidae
Description: lncRNA (ENSUMAG00000006724.1)
Source: RNAcentral